CCUACGGGGGGCAGCAGUGAGGAAUAUUGGUCAAUGGCCGGAAGGCUGAACCAGCCAAGCCGCGUGAAGGACGAAGGUGCCAAGCAUUGUAAACUUCUUUUGUCAAGGGACAAAAUCAGGCUCGAGAGCCUGACCGAGUGUACUUUAAGAAAAAGCAUCGGCUAACUCCGUGCCAGCAGCCGCGGUAAUACGGAGGAUGCGAGCGUUAUCCGGAUUGAUUGGGUUUAAAAGGUGCGUAGGCGUGCUGUUAAGUCAGCGGUAAAAGCCCGGGGCUCAACCCCGGCGAGCCGUUGAAACUGGCGGUCUUGAGAUGGCGAGAGGUAGGCGGAAUGCGCAGUGUAGCGGUGAAAUGCUUAGAUAUUGCGCAGAACUCCGAUUGCGAAGGCAGCAUACCGGCGGCGAUCUGAUGCUGAGGCACGAAAGCGUGGGUAUCGAACAGGAUUAGAUACCCGAGUAGUC
This 459-nucleotide ribosomal RNA is filed under the name uncultured bacterium. RNAcentral describes it as "partial 16S ribosomal RNA". It matches the Rfam family "Bacterial small subunit ribosomal RNA", at positions 338 to 795 of the family's 1533-position model. The record is from RNAcentral.